CCUCGUAGCAGUGUUCUGGAAUCCUACGUGAGGGACAAACUUUCAGAUCCUUGUAACAUUGUUCUGGAAUCCUAUGUGAGGGA
This 83-nucleotide microRNA precursor is filed under the name Nomascus leucogenys (northern white-cheeked gibbon). RNAcentral's name for it is "miRNA (ENSNLEG00000027870.1)". Lineage: Eukaryota; Metazoa; Chordata; Mammalia; Primates; Hylobatidae. The record is from RNAcentral.